Zingiber officinale is the source of this 681-nucleotide long non-coding RNA. RefSeq lists it as uncharacterized. NCBI's taxonomy places the organism in Eukaryota, Viridiplantae, Streptophyta, Magnoliopsida, Zingiberales, Zingiberaceae. The transcript has 3 exons. The record is from RefSeq and is a predicted model, not a curated record.
GUGACUGGUUCCAGUUUUAACCUGCUGAAGUGAAUUGUCCAAGAUUUUGAAACUUGUCUCCUUUGAUCAUAAAUAACUUGCAUGUUUUUACAAGAUCUAAUAAACAUUUCUUUUAUUUAUAUGAUUGUUUUUACAAGAUCUAAUGAUUUUUUUUCUAUAAUUGUAGAUUGUGCCUUGUCCAUUGUUAGCACUUGCAAUUUACUUGGAAGUUGUUUCGGUGUUGCCCUACAUAAGGUCAACGACUGAUACAAAACAUAAAGUCUGGAGAAGGACCAUAGUGAGUACUUAACCAAAUACCAAAGGUUUCAUUGAUUCAAAUGACACUUGAGGGACUAAAUUUAAGUAUUCAAACCUCUAUCAUGAUCAUGGAUAUUGGCUAAGUCUCAACUUAUUAGGAGAAAAGGGAUAAAGCUAGGUUUGCAAGCUAAGUCUAUGAAGUUUUGUAUUCAGAAAAAGGACCAGUACGUGAAGAUUAUUGCACAUCUUGAUCACUUGAUCUAUUCAGAAACGGAUAAGUUAAUUUGCAUGGUUGUGGUUUGAUAAACUUAAUUUUGUGGUUGUCAUGAACUUAUGGUCAUGUUUGGAUAGCUUAGCUUGUAGUAAUUGUAGAAGUUUAUAAACUUAACUUAAGUGAAUGUACAUAUAUGUUGUACCAGUUUUUGGUUGAGACAAGAUGUAUAA